GGGAUGCUGGUACAGGAGCCAUGCUCUGGUGCAGAAAGGAUUUUGGUGGGGAGCAGAAGAAAGAGGUGUCUGGGCUCUGGGCCACGUUACCUGAAGGCAUUGCGAAGUUUCUCUCCCAGUGGGUAUGUCCGGUCCUUCUUCUCAAACUCAUCAUCAAAGAGGG
Molecule: long non-coding RNA, 163 nt
Filed under: Lynx pardinus (Iberian lynx)
Lineage: Eukaryota; Metazoa; Chordata; Mammalia; Carnivora; Felidae
Source: RNAcentral